This 4810-nucleotide long non-coding RNA is filed under the name Heterocephalus glaber (naked mole-rat). Its description in RNAcentral is "lncRNA (ENSHGLG00100048749.1)". The record is from RNAcentral. Lineage: Eukaryota; Metazoa; Chordata; Mammalia; Rodentia; Bathyergidae.
CAUAUUUCUGUUGCCUAGAAUUACUUUUGCUAUUCUAGGUCUCUUCUGGUUCCAAAUAAAGUUUUGGAUUGUUUUCUCUAGUUCUGUAAAGUAUAUUGUUGAAAUUUCAAUUGGCAUUGCAUUAAAUCUACAUAGCAGUUUUGGAAGUAUGGCCAUUUUCACUAUAUUGGUUCUUCCUACCCAGGAGCAAGGGAUGUCUUUCCAUUUUCUUAUAUCUUCUUUGAUAUCUUUUUUUCAGUGUGCUGUAGUUUUCAGUGUAGAAGUCUUUUGCUUCCUUUGUUAGAUUAAUUCCUAGAUAUUUCAUUUUUUUGGAUGCUAUGUUGCAAGGGAUGUUUUUCCCUAAUUUCUCUCUCAGUGAGUCUGUUAUUUGUGUACAAGAAGGCUAUUGUUUUUUGUGUUGAUCUUGUAUCCAGCUACUCUACUGAGUCUGUCAAUUAAGUGUAGAAGUCUUUUGGUAGAGUUUUUUGAGUCUUCCAUGUAGAGUAUCAUAUGGUCAGCAAAUAAUGACCAUUUAACUUCUUCCUUUCCUAUCUUUACUCCUUUUAUUUCUUUCUCCUGUCUAAUAGUUGUGGCUAAUGUUUCUGAACUAUAUUGAAUAGGAGUGGUGAUAGUGGACAUCCUUGACUUGUUCCUGAUUUUAGCGUGAAGGUUUCCAGUUUUUUACCAUUUAGUAUGAUAUUGGCUGUUGUUUUUUCAUAUAUAACCUCAAUCAGGUUGAGAUAAAGACCUUCUAUUCCAAUUUUCUGUAGGGUUUUUAUCAUGAAUGGGUGUUGGAUUUUGUUGAAUGCUUUUUCUGCAUCUCAGAUUCUAUUUAGAAGGUGAGAUAUUGAUAAACACACACAGAGACAAUAUGCUAAUGUUUCUCAUACAUUGUUGAGCAUCUGAAUCACCUGGGAUUGACUACUAGGGUCCCACCACCAGCGAUUCUGAUCCAGGUGCCACUAAUGCUACUAGUCCUUGGACCGCCCUUGAGUAGCCCUUACUAUGGGGAGGCUCUCUAGCUAUUCCUGUACGGAUUCUCAACCUGUCUCCCCAAUGUAAAGAGCAGCUUGUCAGGCAAUAAGUGUAGAAUAAUACAUAGAUGGGCAGAGAAAAGAGAGAGGAUUAGAAGCAGAGAUAUAAUAGUUAAGUAGUACAUAGUAAGUAUAACUAUUUGAAGGACUUUAAUAUUGUUUUAAAAUUCUGUCUUUAAAAUUAAUAAUUUUAAAAAUAUGUUAUGAUUAUUACAUUCAGUAUAAUAAUUAAAAGAGCACAAAUUAUGUAUGUUACAAACUAAACUAUCCUUCCAUUCUAGUCUUACACUGCCACUUUGCAAAAUAAAUCACACUUAACCAUCUUGUUAGACUAUGUACAUGAAAUAUUUGAAAAAAGUUGAGAUUUUUCCUCUAAAUAAUACAGGCCAAGUUACACUUCCAUCUACUAUUACAUAAAUGAUUAUUUCUCUGUAUCUCAAUAGUAUCAGAUGUUAUCCAAAUUUUUGCCUGCCAGUCUGAUUUGUGAAAAAUGGUGUCUAAUUUAUAUUUUAGCUUGUGUUGCCUGUAAUUGAGAGUAGAACAACUUUGAGUAGCAAGACUGUAGAUAAGCUAAUUUGGGGAAGGUGGAUAGAUAACCAUUUUAGUCUUGACUUUGAGCUUUCUUUCUUUUUUGGUACGGGGAUUGAACUCGGGUCCUUGCUCUUGCGCAGCAGGCAGCGAAACCACUGAGCUAAAUCCCUGGCCCAAUUUGGGCUUUCUUUUAAGGAAAAAUAUCUGUUUUCCUUCCUCACUUGAUAUUCAGAUGGUAGGUCUUUUAUGUUGAAUCUUGCUUCAAAAGUGGUUCACCUCUUUUUGAAUGAAAAGAAAGAACAAGGAUACUUCCAUUGCAGCCCACCCUCGGUUUUCACCUGGAAAUUCAUUUUUAUAAGCCAUUCCUAUGGGAAAUAAAGGAUGCAUAUAGGUUUGUUCAUACAAAAAAUGCUACAGCUCCCAAUCCAAGAUUUCCUUAUGGGAAAUGACAACAUCUAGUGAAACAAUGAGUAUAGGAAAUUAAAGAAAACUUGAACUAUGAUGGAUAUACUAAAGCUGAAUUAUUUGAGACCAAAUUUUCUUUAGCUUGUUUACUGCUGUUCACUUGAAAGGCACACACACACACACACACACACACACACACACACACACGACUGCUUUUUGAAAUCAAAUACAUUUCCUGCCUUCGUCUUUCCUCAGUACUCUUACAACCAACCUAUUUAUAGCCCAGGAAAGGAAAAAGCUUACUGGAGGCAGGAAAACUAAGUUCGGAAAGAAUAGGAGGAAGUGUGCCUGCCAUUUAGCCAAACAACCUUUAAUUCAUUGAGCUCAAAGCUUAGCAGCUUCACUGUGGCUGCUGGGCAUAAACAGCUGGCAAAUUUCAAUUUUUUUUCUCUUUACUUUUGAACUGGAUUUAGGCAAUGAGGGUGAUAACCAUGUUUUAGAAAAGAAAAUAGGAAUCUUGGGUGCUUAGACACAAUGAAGAGAAACUUGCAAGAAGUUUAUGAGGAUGAAAGAAAAAGAUAGUGGGAUGAACUUCAGAUGAUUGCAUGUCCGCAGUUAAGGAUGGUCCAGCACUUCAAAGUCAGUUCUGAAUCCAUUUUAUUGCACAACAGAGUGAAAUCUAAGUGUGAUUGAGUUGGAGUCAAAUCUACUAUGGUGUGAUACAGCAUUCACCUGUAAGGAGAUCUGGUUGUUUUCUGAGAUAGAGAAAAUGAAGUCUUCCCUCCAGCACACACUCUCUCUGCCCAACAAGAGCAUCAGCACACUUGGAAGUUCUGCCUUCUUAAGGCAGCUGUAUUUCCAUGGAGCAAGAGUGUACUCUGACCACAGGAAUAGCAUACAAGAGCUACAGAAUUUCAUCUGAGUAGACCAAAAACACUACCAGAAGGCUUGAAUGAGCAAGAUGAUGAGACCAGGUGUUUGGACACCAAGCCUGCAGCUGCCCUGACCAGUAAAUAACUCUUCUGUAGCUUCUGGCUUCUCUAUUUAGAGUAAUAAACAACAAAGGAAAAAUACCAAUUCAUAUAGUGCCAGUCAUGUAAAUGACUCGUUCUAAGUGCUAGAAAUUAACCUGCUAUUUAAUUAUAAGAAGUUAUGAAAAGUUAUGAAAAGCCCAUAGUGACAACUGCUGGUGACAUACAUGAGUGUGACACAGAGAAGUAAAUUGUUACUAGUUGUAAUCAUAUAUCCAGAGCAAUUAUAGAGAGGAAGUGGGAGAGAGUGAAACUAUAUAUUCACCAUAGCAUGCAGAAUCUGAAAAUGUUUGCCUUCAGCAUGAAUAGGCACACAUUUUUUUUUAGAUAGUCCAAUGUACAUUUUAUUUUCUCUUAAUCUUUCCAAAAUUUAUAAAAUAAAGUAUUGAGGGGGCAUUGGCACCAGUCCCAAGCUGUUGAGGAAUCAUUAAUAGACAUCUAUUUAGUUGAUAGGAGAAACAUGUAUAAAACUUUAGGAGAAAAAAACCCCCAUAAAACUGGAGAAACUGCAAAACCCAGAGGUAAUGUUGAUAUUUAAGGAUAUUUUAAAUAGAAAUAAAUAAUAAUUUGCUAGCCUAACUAAACUUGACAAAUGCUGUAGAAAUCCUGAUAUACUUUUUUGCUUAGAUAAGAGGUGAAAUUAGUCUUGCAAUCUGAAUCUACCUUUCGAGUGCGCAUUUGCCAGAAGGCUUAUGUAAGAACGAUAGCAGCCUUACUUAUCCAACCCACAAAUAGUAACACUCUGAAGAUCUGCACUGAAGGCUCCUCUUCGCUUUUGCAUCUGUGCUGUGAGUGGACUGCCCAUGUGUCUCAGAUAGGGCCAUGGUAUUGCCACUGUCUGCAAGACUAAGAAGAUACCAUAAUGGCAUAAUGGAGGACGUAGGUUGCAGAUAAGGAAAAUUCUUUCUAAAUUAAAAAAUAGCAUUUGUACUCUAAACAUUAUCAUAAAGCAUAAUUUGAUUUUGGAAGAAAUUGUAAUACUUGAAAACAACAUUGACAACAAUAACACAUUUUGCAAAACCUAGACUCCCUUAAUCUUGGUUCAGGUGCAUUUUGGGUUUCAGAGAUUCUUGAUUUUUCAUACGUAGAUGCAACUUUAGGUAUUUCAGUUAUUUUUCCUGAUCAUUGAUUUUUUUUUAUAGUAGCUUUUUUUCCAUCAAAAAUCUGUAGUAACAAAUUAAUGAAAGUUUUAAACAUUGUUAUUUGUAUUAUUGUAUUAUUUGUAAAUACAAAUAUAAAUAAUGUGUGCUACAAAGGAAGUAUCUUUUUACCUAAAUAAUUCGUGCAUACUUUCAGAUUUUGUAUGAUUAAUACUUAAGGAUGCUGAGGUGAGUGAAUAAAUACAUGUUCUCUUUCCUAGGCUAGACUGUGAAGCAAAUUUUGCAAAGAAGCCACUGGGAAUGAGAUAUAGUGGUGUGAUAAAGAUGGUCAAGGGUCUAAAAUUGUGGGAACUUUCAGACUUGUAAAAUCCCCACAAGUUACCACAGAAGCUGGUGAGGCUCUUGUGCUAAUUUUAGUCCCCAGUUUGGCUUCACUUACUAUUUAACUCAUCAACAUCCUUAUUUUGUCCAGAAGAUCCAUUAGCAAACUUUAAGUGGAACUCUCUUUGUGUAAUAUUCACUCCCAAGAAUGGUUUAAUGGAUUUUAAUAACCCAACAUUCACUUAUUUCCACCAAAAAAUGAUUGCAAUGUCAACCCUUGGAUCCCAGUCGAGACUCAUCGGUGCAUGUGAGAUGUUACUGACAUUUCUAUGUGAAUCUAGUGAAAUCUGAUCUUUAACCUUUUUGGGUCAGAUAUUUGUUUUUGUUUUCCUAUGAGUACUUAUCUUAC